This 497-nucleotide ribosomal RNA is filed under the name uncultured bacterium. RNAcentral's name for it is "partial 16S ribosomal RNA". It matches the Rfam family "Bacterial small subunit ribosomal RNA", at positions 28 to 507 of the family's 1533-position model. The record is from RNAcentral.
GAUGAACGCUGGCGGCGUGCCUAAUACAUGCAAGUCGAGCGAACAGACGAGGAGCUUGCUCCUCUGACGUUAGCGGCGGACGGGUGAGUAACACGUGGAUAACCUACCUAUAAGACUGGGAUAACUUCGGGAAACCGGAGCUAAUACCGGAUAAUAUAUUGAACCGCAUGGUUCAAUAGUGAAAGACGGUUUUGCUGUCACUUAUAGAUGGAUCCGCGCCGCAUUAGCUAGUUGGUAAGGUAACGGCUUACCAAGGCAACGAUGCGUAGCCGACCUGAGAGGGUGAUCGGCCACACUGGAACUGAGACACGGUCCAGACUCCUACGGGAGGCAGCAGUAGGGAAUCUUCCGCAAUGGGCGAAAGCUUGACGGAGCAACGCCGCGUGAGUGAUGAGGGUCUUCGGAUCGUAAAACUCUGUUAUUAGGGAAGAACAAAUGUGUAAGUAACUAUGCACGUCUUGACGGUACCUAAUCAGAAAGCCACGGCUAACUACGUG